UGUCUAUAUCACGUUGAAACACCGGUUCUUGUAAGAUCACCGAAGUUAAGCAACGUUGAGCCUGAUCAGUACAUAGAUGGGUGACCGCUUGGGAAUACCAGGUGUGGU
This 108-nucleotide ribosomal RNA is filed under the name Acanthosepion pharaonis. The record is from RNAcentral. Lineage: Eukaryota; Metazoa; Mollusca; Cephalopoda; Sepiida; Sepiidae.